AGUGAACGCUGGCGGUAGGCCUAACACAUGCAAGUCGAACGGCAGCACAGUAAGAGCUUGCUCUUACGGGUGGCGAGUGGCGGACGGGUGAGGAAUACAUCGGAAUCUACUUUUUCGUGGGGGAUAACGUAGGGAAACUUACGCUAAUACCGCAUACGACCUACGGGUGAAAGCAGGGGAUCUUCGGACCUUGCACGAUUGAAUGAGCCGAUGUCGGAUUAGCUAGUUGGCGGGGUAAAGGCCCACCAAGGCGACGAUCCGUAGCUGGUCUGAGAGGAUGAUCAGCCACACUGGAACUGGGACACGGUCCAGACUCCUACGGGAGGCAGCAGUGGGGAAUAUUGGACAAUGGGCGCAAGCCUGAUCCAGCCAUACCGCGUGGGUGAAGAAGGCCUUCGGGUUGUAAAGCCCUUUUGUUGGGAAAGAAAAGCAGCAGGUUAAUACCCCGCUGUUCUGACGGUACCCAAAGAAUAAGCACCGGCUAACUUCGUG
Molecule: ribosomal RNA, 492 nt
Filed under: uncultured bacterium
Lineage: Bacteria
Description: partial 16S ribosomal RNA
Rfam family: Bacterial small subunit ribosomal RNA
Source: RNAcentral